RNAcentral lists this ribosomal RNA (465 nucleotides) under Vreelandella stevensii. RNAcentral's name for it is "partial 16S ribosomal RNA". It matches the Rfam family "Bacterial small subunit ribosomal RNA", at positions 338 to 795 of the family's 1533-position model. Lineage: Bacteria; Pseudomonadati; Pseudomonadota; Gammaproteobacteria; Oceanospirillales; Halomonadaceae. The record is from RNAcentral.
CCUACGGGGGGCAGCAGUGGGGAAUAUUGGACAAUGGGCGAAAGCCUGAUCCAGCCAUGCCGCGUGUGUGAAGAAGGCCUUCGGGUUGUAAAGCACUUUCAGUGGGGAAGAAAGCCUUGGGGCUAAUACCCUCGAGGAAGGACAUCACCCACAGAAGAAGCACCGGCUAACUCCGUGCCAGCAGCCGCGGUAAUACGGAGGGUGCGAGCGUUAAUCGGAAUUACUGGGCGUAAAGCGCGCGUAGGCGGUCUGAUAAGCCGGUUGUGAAAGCCCCGGGCUCAACCUGGGAACGGCAUCCGGAACUGUCAGGCUAGAGUGCAGGAGAGGAAGGUAGAAUUCCCGGUGUAGCGGUGAAAUUCGUAGAGAUCGGGAGGAAUACCAGUGGCGAAGGCGGCCUUCUGGACUGACACUGACGCUGAGGUGCGAAAGCGUGGGUAGCAAACAGGAUUAGAUACCCUAGUAGUC